AAUAUUGGGCAAUGGGCGAAAGCCUGACCCAGCAACGCCGCGUGAGUGAUGAAGGCUUUCGGGUCGUAAAACUCUGUUGUUAGGGAAGAACAAGUAUGAGAGUAACUGCUCGUACCUUGACGGUACCUAACCAGAAAGCAACGGCUAACUACGUGCCAGCAGCCGCGGUAAUACGUAGGUGGCACGCGUUAUCCGGAAUUAUUGGGCGUAAAGCGCGCGCAGGCGGUUUCUUAAGACAGAUGUGAAAGCCCACGGCUCAACCGUGGAGGGUCAUUGGAAACUGGGGAACUUGAGUGCAGAAGAGAAAAGCGGAAUUCCACGUGUAGCGGUGAAAUGCGUAGAGAUGUGGAGGAACACCAGUGGCGAAGGCAGCUUUUUGGUCUGUAACUGACGCUGAGGCGCGAAAGCGUGGGGAGCAAACAGG
This 424-nucleotide ribosomal RNA is filed under the name uncultured bacterium. RNAcentral's name for it is "partial 16S ribosomal RNA". It matches the Rfam family "Bacterial small subunit ribosomal RNA", at positions 360 to 776 of the family's 1533-position model. The record is from RNAcentral.